Molecule: ribosomal RNA, 406 nt
Filed under: uncultured bacterium
Lineage: Bacteria
Description: partial 16S ribosomal RNA
Rfam family: Bacterial small subunit ribosomal RNA
Source: RNAcentral
AUUGAACGCUGGCGGCAGGCCUAACACAUGCAAGUCGAACGAGUGGCGGAGGGGUGAGUAAUGUCUGUGAAACUGCCCGAUGGAGGGGGAUAACUACUGGAAAAGGUAGCUAAUACCGCAUACCCUCGGAUGUGCCCAGAUGGGAUUAGCUAGUAGGGGGGGUAACGGCUCACCUAGGCGACGAUCCCUAGCUGGUCUGAGAGGAGGACCAGCCACACGGGAACGGAGACACGGUCCAGACUCCUACGGGAGGCAGCAGUGGGGAAUAUUGCACAAUGGGCGCAAGCCUGAUGCAGCCAUGCCGCGUGUAUGAAGAAGGCCUUCGGGUUGUAAAGCACUUUCAGCGAGGAGGCGUUACUCGCAGAAGAAGCACCGGCUAACUCCGUGCCAGCAGCCGCGGUAAUAC